AAGAUGAUUUGACUCAAUUAAGAAACUGAAGUCCAAAUUGACACAGAAAACUGAAAAGGAGAACAGGCAACAGAUGAAAUAUGAAGAGAAAGAUUUUUAACACAGACAAUUGAAACAAGGACAGCAGUGAACUUAGGAACAGAGAACAGAGUGAGCAGGAAUAAAAAGAGUCUUUUGCAGAAAGUCCGUUUGGACAGAAGCAUCUACAUAUCAGCCUGCUGGUACAUCAGGGCUGGGCAGAUCCCUGAGGAA
This 252-nucleotide long non-coding RNA is filed under the name Bos indicus x Bos taurus (hybrid cattle). RNAcentral describes it as "lncRNA (ENSBIXG00000024796.1)". Lineage: Eukaryota; Metazoa; Chordata; Mammalia; Artiodactyla; Bovidae. The record is from RNAcentral.